Morone saxatilis (striped sea-bass) is the source of this 1822-nucleotide long non-coding RNA. RefSeq lists it as uncharacterized. The transcript is spliced from 3 exons. NCBI's taxonomy places the organism in Eukaryota, Metazoa, Chordata, Actinopteri, Moronidae. The record is from RefSeq and is a predicted model, not a curated record.
GAGACCUCCAUCAUGGCCACCGCUGACCAGCUGCUGGAGCUGAUGUUCUCCUGGAUCGAGCAGAGGGAGAGCUGUGCAGAGCAGCUGAGGAAACUGGCCCAGGAGCUGGAGUCACGCAGAAAGAAAUGUAAUAUCAGUGAAUGUGUUGGAAGCACAGUGGCAGUGGCUGGAUCUGCAUGUAUGAUCGCAGCCGGUGUGGCCACUUUGUUCACCGGCGGUGCAGCUGCUCCACUUUUAGGGGUGGCAGGAGCAGUGUGUACAGGUGCAGGUGCCACUGUAUCUGUGGGUACUAAAAUCAUUGAGGGCUUCAUAUCCAGUGACACCAUUAAAGAGGCGCAAGAGAUAGAAAAGAAGAGCAACGAGGUUGCAGAAGAAAUACAGGAACUGUUUGAACAACUAAAGGUGGAGAGUUCCUCCACAGACCCAAAUAAACAGGACCGACACGGUAUGACUGAAAUUCUGAAAGCUAUAGCCAGACGAAGUGGACUAAAGGGGAGGAUCCGGAUCCGCAGGCUUGAUAAAGAGCUACAGAUUCUAUUCGACAAAGAACAGUCAAACGAGAGGCUCAACCAGACCUUAUUAAACCCUGAAGUGAUAGUUGCACUUGGUGGAAUUUUAGCAUUUUUUGCACUUCAGCUUCGUGGAAAAACAUUGAAACGUUUCUUGGCUAAAGGAGCUGAGCAACUGAUCAAACAUACGUGUAAAGGUAGUGCUCUAGGAACUGACCAGUUAAUCAAAACUGGUGCCAAGGGAGCUAAAAAAAUUAUCAAACAAAUGUCUUCAAAAGCCCUAAAAGGAGGUGUCAUGGUAAUACCAAUAUAUAUUGUUUGAUAAUCACACAAAAUGAUCUUUAUAUUACUACACAUCACACUUUUAUUAUUCAUGAUUGAUAAUUAUUUCUUUAUUGUCUUAUAAUAUUGAAAAUUAUCCAUAUUCAUAUCAUCAGGUUGUAGGAGGAGUUGUUGGACUGGCAUUUGAACUUCCUGAGGCGAUUGACAUCUGGACAGACCUGAUCAAGAACAAUCAUGUGACUGAAGCGAGCCAAUCACUGAGAGAUACAGCUGAUGCCAUUCUAGAGAUCACCGGGACGCUGGGGGAACAGUUCGACAUAAUCGAGCAAAUGUUUGACGAGAUGGUGAAACGUCACAAGGAAAAGGCUUCCAGAUGGAAAAGACUGAUGUGCUGCUUGUGCUGCUGCUCUGCAGAAUGAGGCCAGACCAGGUAACCAGAGAAUGACAGAACAGGCCCCCGAAUCUGGCCUAGCAGCAACACAACCAGAGGCCACAGCAGAGACGACCGCCACAGAUUGUGACUUCUGAACAUUUAGAAUGAUGUAUUACUUGGUAAAUAUAUUUGUUCUUCAUUUAAAGGUUAUAUAAAAUGUACAGCUGUGCAAAGAUUAUGGAAAGGAUCCCUGCAGAGAUAGACCUUUUGUUUAACCAGAAACAGACGUAAUGUUGCUUGUUAUUUACUUCGAAUGCAAUUAUUUUCACUGUGGAAGCAACCUGACAGACACUCUGCAUCAAGCUUCGUUAUUUAUUGAUUUAACUGUAUUUAUGGGGAAGUUAAUGUUAGGAUUAUGAAAAUAUGUGUUUGUCAGGAAACUGUAAAUAUAUUUCAUUUGAUGUCUUUGAACAAAUGACCAGAGCAACUUCAAUCAGUCCCUGAGUGUAAUCUGCUGCUCAAACACCAGAUGGCAGCAGAGAUCAGUCAGAGUCAAUCAAUACAGCUGUUAAAGUUCCUGAACUUGGAGAGACAGUGAUACCUGUUGAGGGCAUUUGGUUAUUAAUUUUGUCUCUAAUAGUAAUAAUUUUAUUAUAAA